GGAGAGAUGUCCGAGCGGUUUAAGGAGCUGGUCUUGAAAACCAGUGAGUCAGCAAUGGCCCGUGGGUUCGAAUCCCACUCUCUCCGCCA
This 89-nucleotide transfer RNA is filed under the name Clostridiales bacterium. RNAcentral's name for it is "tRNA-Ser". It matches the Rfam family "tRNA". From Rfam's summary of the family: Transfer RNA (tRNA) molecules are approximately 80 nucleotides in length. Lineage: Bacteria; Bacillati; Bacillota; Clostridia; Eubacteriales. The record is from RNAcentral. RNAcentral also lists the same sequence under 1 other name.